Molecule: ribosomal RNA, 253 nt
Filed under: uncultured bacterium
Lineage: Bacteria
Description: partial 16S ribosomal RNA
Rfam family: Bacterial small subunit ribosomal RNA
Source: RNAcentral
UACGGAGGGUGCAAGCGUUAUCCGGAUUCACUGGGUUUAAAGGGUGCGUAGGAGGGCAGGGAAGUCAGUGGUGAAAUCUCCGGGCUUAACUCGGAAACUGCCGUUGAUACUCUCUGUCUUGAAUCCCGUGGAGGUGAGCGGAAUAUGUCAUGUAGCGGUGAAAUGCUUAGAUAUGACAUAGAACACCAAUUGCGAAGGCAGCUCGCUACACGAAGAUUGACUCUGAGGCACGAAAGCGUGGGGAUCAAAAGGG